This 253-nucleotide ribosomal RNA is filed under the name uncultured bacterium. RNAcentral describes it as "partial 16S ribosomal RNA". It matches the Rfam family "Bacterial small subunit ribosomal RNA", at positions 524 to 776 of the family's 1533-position model. The record is from RNAcentral.
UACGAAGGGUGCAAGCGUUACUCGGAAUUACUGGGCGUAAAGCGUGCGUAGGUGGUUUGUUAAGUCUGCUGUGAAAUCCCCGGGCUCAACCUGGGAAUGGCAGUGGAUACUGGCAAGCUAGAGUGCGGUAGAGGGUAGUGGAAUUCCCGGUGUAGCGCUAAAAUGCGUAGAGAUCGGGAGGAACACCAGUGGCGAAGGCGGCUACCUGGACCAGCACUGACACUCAGGCACGAAAGCGUGGGGAGCAAACAGG